This is a long non-coding RNA of Micropterus salmoides (largemouth bass), 325 nucleotides long. RefSeq lists it as uncharacterized. The transcript is spliced from 3 exons. The record is from RefSeq and is a predicted model, not a curated record. NCBI's taxonomy places the organism in Eukaryota, Metazoa, Chordata, Actinopteri, Centrarchiformes, Centrarchidae.
UCUGCUUACUGACCACAGAGGAAGGCUUCUUUAAAGACAGCGUCCUUCUUCAUUCCACACAGAGAGAUGAGAGGAGCAGCUAUGAGUUUAACUGCAGCAACAAGUGGAUUUGUCGUCUUCCUUCUCUCUGUGUCAGUGGUACAGAGCCAGAAUGACUGGGGAGUGACGUACACUUCUACUACUAAGAUCUGUGCCUUCAAAGGAUCAACAGUUGAUAUGUCCUCCAAAUAUACAUACCCACUCAAAACAAAUGGCCAUGAGACUAAAGUUGAGAGAAUAUUCUGGUUUACUGAAGAAAGUAAUGUGGAUCUAAUAAUGGACACAA